Molecule: ribosomal RNA, 403 nt
Filed under: uncultured bacterium
Lineage: Bacteria
Description: partial 16S ribosomal RNA
Rfam family: Bacterial small subunit ribosomal RNA
Source: RNAcentral
GACGAACGCUGGCGGCGUGCCUAAUACAUGCAAGUCGAACGCAGUGGGGACGGGUGAGUAACCCGUGGGUUACCUCGCAUCAGAGGGGAGAACACUUGGAAACAGGUGCUAAACCGAUACUGUUGGAUGAACACGCUGUGCAUUAGCUAGUUGGUGAGGUAACGGCUCACCAAGGCAACGAUGCAUAGCCGACCUGAGAGGGUGAGCGGCCACACUGGGACUGAGACACGGCCCAGACUCCUACGGGAGGCAGCAGUAGGGAAUAUGCGGCAAUGGACGAAAGUCUGACCGAGCAACGCCGCGUGAGUGAAGAAGGUUUUCGGAUCGUAAAACUCUGUUGUUAGAGAAGCGGUAUCUAACCAGAAAGCCACGGCUAACUACGUGCCAGCAGCCGCGGUAAUUC